Molecule: ribosomal RNA, 399 nt
Filed under: uncultured Choreotrichida
Lineage: Eukaryota; Ciliophora; Spirotrichea
Description: partial small subunit ribosomal RNA
Rfam family: Eukaryotic small subunit ribosomal RNA
Source: RNAcentral
GCUUGUCUCAAAGAUUAAGCCAUGCAUGUCUAAGUAUAAGUAUUAUACAGCGAAACUGCGAAUGGCUCAUUAAAACAGUUAUGGUUUAUUUGAUAAUCGAAUUUUACAUGGAUAACCGUGGUAAUUCUAGAGCUAAUACAUGCUGGUGUGCCUGACUUUUCGGAAGGGCGGUAUUUAUUAGAUAACGAACCAAUAUUCCUCUGGUCUAUUGUGGUGAAUCAUAAUAACUGAUCGAAUCGCAAAGCCUUUGGCUGCGAUAUGUCAUUCAAGUUUCUGCCCCAUCAGCUUUCGAUGGUAGUGUAUUGGACUACCAUGGCUUUUACGGGUAACGGAGAAUUAGGGUUCGAUUCCGGAGAGGGAGCCUGAGAAACGGCUACCACAUCUAAGGAAGGCAGCAGG